This 3399-nucleotide long non-coding RNA is filed under the name Patiria miniata (bat star). Its description in RNAcentral is "uncharacterized LOC119733307". Lineage: Eukaryota; Metazoa; Echinodermata; Asteroidea; Valvatida; Asterinidae. The record is from RNAcentral.
GUAAAUAAACAUUACGCGCAGCGAUCCCUUUGUUUCGUUGGUGGAUUUAAAUACCCCGCGAAAGAUAUAAAGAUUGAUUGGUUAAUUAAAAUGAAUAUGCAACAGAUUACCAAAUAAGGCUCUACAAACACCAAUGAAGCUAUGUACGGUCGACAGUUGCCAUCUAGCGUGCACAAAUUCUGAUAAUGUGUGUUUUUUAUGCAGCGUGUGACUUGUGACCUGGUUCGAUUUAGCGUUUUUGUGCCGUCAUUUCCACUUCGAGAAAACAUCAUUUUUAAACUAAAAUGCAGUUUUGUGACGCAUACUUGGUCAAUCUAUCAAUAAAUGGGUUAUCUAGGUUCACGUUGAUAUAGACGAAAGGUUCGGGUCGACAUGCUUUCGUGAGAUUUUAGCCAAUAUUGAGGGUGAAUAAAACAGGAAUUCGUCAAGUCGCGACGUACGAAGUGUACAUGCAGUGUCAUGGCGUGACGAGUGGGGACCUUCGUGGCCAUGUUUUGGCAUGAUUUCGGAGAUUCAGACGGAAAUCUCAAAGACCUAUUGGUUGUCUCUCGGACGCUGUGGAGGAGGUUGGCCUACAUUUCUUCUUAUGCGGAGUGUACGGCAUUCCACCAUGACACGCAGAUGACGUACCCUGCCCUGACGAAGGAUACCUUCAGAAAAUUUGACAACUUUCAUCGGUUUGAAGAGUUUCUUCCUAUUUCUGGAUUGAAGAUGGCAACGACAUGCAUGGCCUCGUAUAAUGGACGAGCUUUGGAUUCCUCCGCAUCUGAUCUGUACUACCCACCCAUUGCGAUUGAACUCCUUAUCAGUUCCUGACCAUGCCAUGACAUGGCCAUGUUCAUUCAAACUGCCCAACCCCCACUCUGAACCUUUCUAAAUAGUCCAUGGUGAGGAGUACAUGUACAUGUAUUUUCAGUGUGAUCUGAAUUGGGAGUGGUAGGUGUAGUCUGUUCGCUGCCUCCCUGUCCCAGAUGCUUGAAUAACAUAGUUGACGUAAACAUUUCAUAAUGAAUAACUUACUGCCGGGGGAAUUGAGAAAGUUUGGGAAUUUAGGAGAUAACUGGAGGUAAUCAUUGAUCAGGACAGUUUCUGUUUUGUUGUUAAUGCCAUUUCAGAUGGUAUAUAUCUUGUCAAUGUCACCACAAACUGACACUUGCGCACACAUGAGUGCGCUGCACGCGUGCGUAUUUACAGAUUCGGGAUAUUUUGGGUUUCACGAACUGACAUCCUCCACAGUGCGACACUUUUAGAGUGCACCCAUGCAUUUUGGGUUUCACGAACUGACACCGAUCUUAAUUUUAACCAAUUAAAUCCCUUUUUAAUGAAAAAUUUGUACAUGUUUAAUCACACAAGUACACGGAUAGAUGUAUUGCCGCAUCAUGCUUGGGUGUCAGUUCGUGAAAACAAAAAUUGUACAAAUAUGCCUUGUUGCCUCUAAAAGUGCCGCUCUGUGGCGGAUGUCAGUUCGUAAAACCCAAAAUAUCCCGGUUCUGUAAACACGCGCGCUUACAGCGCACACACGGGUGCGAGAGUGUCGUUCAUAGUGAUGAUGACAAUCUGUACCUGAUUUCACGACACUUAUUGUAACCUACGAUGCAUCGUUGUAUCCCUAGGAUGACGCAUCCUGUGAUUCAUUUCACAAAAUAUGCUGUAAGUGCGACACGUCGUAGUGUAUUCAAAGGACAAACGGUGACUGCAUGUACAUGUACAUGUAUUUUCAUGUUAUGUAUUUAUUCAAAGAACAGUAAAUAGUCGUCGAAAAGUCAACAAAGAGUCGUUAAUUGUACUUGUUAAAACUUUUCUAAAAUAUUUAACAAAAUUGACGAUGUAUGAUGCAUUCACACUGGAAAAGAACUUCACAGUUGACUGUGUUUGCAUCAAAUUGUGAAGUGAUGUAGUGCUUUGUAAAUCUGGUGCAGGUCAUCCAGGUACGUGUACACGUACAUUUGUGAAAAUUUAAUAAAGCGAAAAUUGAAACCUGAAAUUUCCAUCACCACCACUCAUGAAAUAGUGCAGUUGAACUGCAAGCUCCUUUCUCCAACAAAAUAUUAAUAAUAAAUAAAUAUAAAAAAACCUUUACUGUCUUCAGGUGUGAGGGUAUGCUUAAAUCCAUUUGCCCUUUCAUAAAGUUGAAUUUUUGAAUCACUUUCUUGAAUCUACUGCAACUACCCUAUUUAAUUUUUCAGACUUUUCAUAGUUUUAUCACUUGCCAAACCUGAUUUCACAAGUUGAGUUCAUGCAUGCAUUACAUGUGCACUUUAUUUACUUGUAAAAUAUGGCUGUUGUGAAGUUUCACUUCUGUAAAUGAAACUUUUUAUUUUAAAUGAUAUGGAUUGGUUGUGAAAUAAAGAAUGCGUUUAUUGCCAAACAAAAACCUGUUUGUUAUUGUUUUGUUUAAGCUAUAGAUCCCAUUAAUUGUCAGCAACUUCCCCCAGAAUAUUAAGAGGAUAGAGUGUCUCAUACUGAUGUCAAAUUCAUGCUUGGUUUUGGAUUGUGCUGCUUUAAUAUGCUGUACAAGUUACAACACUCACUCACUCACUAGCUCACUGUACAUGUACAACACUAAACAUUUGUGAAUUUCGGAUUGUGAGUUUAUUUUGUCCACAGUGAGUGUUUUCAUCUAAAGAAAGAUGGUUCUUUAUUUCUAUGUAAUCUGUUUUGCACUGUAUGUAUUUUUAAAUUUUAUUCAAUGUCUUGCGAUUGUCCGUAAAAUCUAAUUCUACCUCCAUGGUUUUACGUACACAUGUACAUGUACAUAUGUGUACACGUUGUACGGCGCUUUUGUGUACACAACACACGCGGCGCUAGGCCAGUUGGUACCCGCGCGCCAGUUUGCAUGUAUUAGUGGGAUACUAGAUCGUGAACCAGCGAUGCAGCAGCCCAAAUUCUCUGCGAAGCUUUGGAAUUGUAGUCUGACUUUCAACGUCUAUAUUUUAUUUUAAAAUGUCGACCCGACCAAGAAAAAGUAUGAUUUGGCUAUUUUCAUAACUGAAUAAUCGUACCAACAUAAAGAUUUCUUCUGAAAAACUGCGUUUCGCUUUCUUGAAGGGCUUUUAAAAGUCUUCGAUACGCGAAUAAAUUCAUCCCGCUUUGCAAAAAUGUUGGCGAAAAUUCCCCUAAAACACACCUUGGCAUAUAAAUUAUACCCUUUUCUCAUUUAUUUCCUAAAGAAAACAUCAUAUCCCGUCAUUGCCGGUCAUUUAUGAUAAUAAAACGUAUUUCUAAAGUGUCUAAUUUUGACAAUAUUUGGGACGAAACAUCGAUGUUUUUUUCUGUAUGUGGACGGCGCCAUGUUGUGUGACGUCACCGGCAUCAUUGGAGUUCACAAAUACAGAACUAACGCAUUACAGACACUUUGUGUGUGUGCGCGCUAUGCAUGUGGAACUGCCGUGUAGCCUG